RNAcentral lists this unclassified non-coding RNA (90 nucleotides) under Yersinia enterocolitica (type O:2) str. YE3094/96. It matches the Rfam family "Glm Y RNA activator of glmS mRNA", at positions 1 to 89 of the family's 163-position model. From Rfam's summary of the family: This family consists of a number of bacterial RNA genes of around 167 bases in length. The function of this RNA is unknown. The record is from RNAcentral. Lineage: Bacteria; Pseudomonadati; Pseudomonadota; Gammaproteobacteria; Enterobacterales; Yersiniaceae.
AGUUGCUCAUUCACCUCUUUAUGAUAGUCCCGCCGUAUAGCGGAAUAUGCACUUCAUAAGCCACCGAAUGAUGCCUAAGACUGGUGCCUA